ACGGCGUCGAGCGGCGGACGGGUGAGUAAUGCCUGGGAAAUUGCCCUGAUGUGGGGGAUAACCAUUGGAAACGAUGGCUAAUACCGCAUGAUAGCUUCGGCUCAAAGAGGGGGACCUUCGGGCCUCUCGCGUCAGGAUAUGCCCAGGUGGGAUUAGCUAGUUGGUGAGGUAAGGGCUCACCAAGGCGACGAUCCCUAGCUGGUCUGAGAGGAUGAUCAGCCACACUGGAACUGAGACACGGUCCAGACUCCUACGGGAGGCAGCAGUGGGGAAUAUUGCACAAUGGGCGCAAGCCUGAUGCAGCCAUGCCGCGUGUAUGAAGAAGGCCUUCGGGUUGUAAAGUACUUUCAGCAGUGAGGAAGAUGGUGUGUUUAAUACGUACAUCAUUUGACGUUAGCUGCAGAAGAAGCACCGGCUAACUCCGUGCCAGCAGCCGCGGUAAUACGGAGGGUGCGAGCAUAAUCGGAAUUACUGGGCGUAAAGCGCAUGCAGGUGGUUUGUUAAGUCAGAUGUGAAAGCCCGGGGCUCUCCUCGGAAUACAUUUGAAACUGGCAGACUAGAGUACUGUAGAGGGGGGUAGAAUUUCCGUGUAGCG
Molecule: ribosomal RNA, 595 nt
Filed under: marine bacterium AK14_017
Lineage: Bacteria
Description: bacterial SSU rRNA
Rfam family: Bacterial small subunit ribosomal RNA
Source: RNAcentral